This 356-nucleotide ribosomal RNA is filed under the name uncultured Porphyrobacter sp. RNAcentral describes it as "bacterial SSU rRNA". It matches the Rfam family "Bacterial small subunit ribosomal RNA", at positions 29 to 412 of the family's 1533-position model. Lineage: Bacteria; Pseudomonadati; Pseudomonadota; Alphaproteobacteria; Sphingomonadales; Erythrobacteraceae. The record is from RNAcentral.
AACGAACGCUGGCGGCAUGCCUAACACGUGCAAGUCGAACGAGACCUUCGGGUCUAGUGGCGCACGGGUGCGUAACGCGUGGGAACCUGCCCUUAGGUUCGGAAUAACUCAGAGAAAUUUGAGCUAAUACCGGAUAAUGUCUUCGGACCAAAGAUUUAUCGCCUUUGGAUGGGCCCGCGUUGGAUUAGCUAGUUGGUGGGGUAAAGGCCUACCAAGGCGACGAUCCAUAGCUGGUCUGAGAGGAUGAUCAGCCACACUGGGACUGAGACACGGCCCAGACUCCUACGGGAGGCAGCAGUGGGGAAUCUUGGACAAUGGGGGCAACCCUGAUCCAGCCAUGCCGCGUGGGUGAUGAA